Long non-coding RNA from Stegodyphus dumicola, 500 nucleotides. RefSeq lists it as uncharacterized. The record is from RefSeq and is a predicted model, not a curated record. Lineage: Eukaryota; Metazoa; Arthropoda; Arachnida; Araneae; Eresidae.
UAAAAUCUUCCUUCAACAGAGAAAAUUUCUUUCAAAAACGCCUGGAUUAUUUGCUUUGUAUUUUGCAAAUCAUUUCACGAAAAGUGCCCGACAUGAGUCAAUGAAUCAAUGCUGAGUCACCGAAAUAACCAACAAAUUCCUGAAGUUGUAUUAUAAAAGGAUAUCUCCGAGUUAAGUUAUUCAUACGUAUUGAAUUCGUGCAUCUCAGAAAUGGAACUUUUGAAACGCAGUCUACUUUUCCUCGCGGCUCUGAUGGUGGCAACUUUGUCUGUCAUCCAGGCUGUUCCUGACCCUGAUCCACAACUCCGCCCUAUCGGCAGAAAAUGAAUACUCCUGACUGUUUGGAUUUGCAGAAUGGAAGACGACCGAAUAUGCUCCUUCUUCAAGAAUAAAAAUGCUUCUAUAGAGAUACAAAAUAACUCCUAAAAGCUUUGUAAAUUGUUGUUAUUCAAUUUCGUACAUUCCAAAAUAUGCAAUAAUAAAGCAUCUAUAAAAUUUCA